AAUGAACGCUGGCGGCAUGCCUAACACAUGCAAGUCGAACGAAGGCUUCGGCCUUAGUGGCGCACGGGUGCGUAACGCGUGGGAAUCUGCCCUCAGGUUCGGAAUAACAGCGAGAAGUUGCUGCUAAUACCGGAUGAUAUCGCGAGAUCAAAGAUUUAUCGCCUGAGGAUGAGCCCGCGUAGGAUUAGCUAGUUGGUGUGGUAAAGGCGCACCAAGGCGACGAUCCUUAGCUGGUCUGAGAGGAUGAUCAGCCACACUGGGACUGAGACACGGCCCAGACUCCUACGGGAGGCAGCAGUGGGGAAUAUUGGACAAUGGGCGAAAGCCUGAUCCAGCAAUGCCGCGUGAGUGAUGAAGGCCUUAGGGUUGUAAAGCUCUUUUACCCGGGAUGAUAAUGACAGUACCGGGAGAAUAAGCUCCGGCUAACUCCGUGCCAGCCGCCGCCGUAA
RNAcentral lists this ribosomal RNA (449 nucleotides) under uncultured bacterium. RNAcentral describes it as "partial 16S ribosomal RNA". It matches the Rfam family "Bacterial small subunit ribosomal RNA", at positions 29 to 523 of the family's 1533-position model. The record is from RNAcentral.